UUAAUAUUCCCUCCGUCCCAUAUUAAGCGUCGCAAGUUUGUCUAGAUACGCAUGUAUCUACAGUUCUACACACUAAAACACGUCUAGAUACAUGCAUAUCUAGACAAACUUGCAACACUUAAUAUGGUACGCAGGGAGUACAAU
This is a non-coding RNA of Brachypodium distachyon (stiff brome), 144 nucleotides long. Lineage: Eukaryota; Viridiplantae; Streptophyta; Magnoliopsida; Poales; Poaceae. The record is from Rfam.